CCCUUAGAUGUUCUGGGCUGCACGCGCGCUACACUGAAGCUAUCAACACGUUUUCCCUCCCUGAGAAGGGCGGGUAACCUUUUGAAUCAGCUUCGUGGUAGGGAUCGGGGCUUGCAAUUGUUCCCCGUGAACCAGGAAUUCCUAGUAGACGCGAGUCAUAAGCUCGCAUCGAUUAAGUCCCUGCCCUUUGUACACACCGCCCGUCGCUACUACCGAUUGAACGUUUUAGUGAGGCAUUUGGACCGACGCAUCUCAGUUUAACCGCUGGUUUGUGUUGGAAAGACAUCCAAACUUGAGCGUUUAGAGGAAGUAAAAGUCGUAACA
This 324-nucleotide ribosomal RNA is filed under the name uncultured eukaryote. Its description in RNAcentral is "partial 18S ribosomal RNA". It matches the Rfam family "Eukaryotic small subunit ribosomal RNA", at positions 1470 to 1796 of the family's 1831-position model. The record is from RNAcentral.